AGAACGAACGCUGGCGGCAGGCCUAACACAUGCAAGUCGAACGCACUCUUCGGAGUGAGUGGCAGACGGGUGAGUAACACGUGGGAACCUACCCGGUGGUACGGAAUAACUCGGGGAAACCCGAGCUAAUACCGAAUACGCCCCAAGGGGGAAAGAUUUAUCGCCAUCGGAAGGGCCCGCGCCGGAUUAGCUAGUUGGUGGGUAACGGCCUACCAAGGCUCCGAUCCGUAGCUGGUCUGAGAGGAUGACCAGCCACACUGGGACUGAGACACGGCCCAGACUCCUACGGGAGGCAGCAGUGGGGAAUCUUGGACAAUGGGCGAAAGCCUGAUCCAGCCAUGCCGCGUGAGUGAAGAAGGCCCUAGGGUUGUAAAGCUCUUUCGGCGGGGACGAUAAUGACGGUACCCGCAGAAGAAGCCCCGGCUAACUCCGUGCCAGCAGCCGC
This 445-nucleotide ribosomal RNA is filed under the name uncultured bacterium. RNAcentral's name for it is "SSU rRNA". It matches the Rfam family "Bacterial small subunit ribosomal RNA", at positions 26 to 518 of the family's 1533-position model. The record is from RNAcentral.